RNAcentral lists this ribosomal RNA (253 nucleotides) under uncultured bacterium. Its description in RNAcentral is "partial 16S ribosomal RNA". It matches the Rfam family "Bacterial small subunit ribosomal RNA", at positions 524 to 776 of the family's 1533-position model. The record is from RNAcentral.
UACGAAGGAUUCGAGCGUUAUCCGGAUUUAUUGGGUUUAAAGGGUGCGUAGGCGGGCUUGUAAGUCAGUGGUGAAAGCCCGGAGCUCAACUCCGGAACUGCCAUUGAUACUGCAAGUCUUGAGUACACUUGAGGUGGGCGGAAUACAUCAUGUAGUGGUGAAAUACUUAGAUAUGAUGUAGAACACCGAUUGCGAAGGCAGCUCACUAAAUUGUAACUGACGCUGAGGCACGAAAGCGUGGGGAUCAAACAGG